Molecule: long non-coding RNA, 1058 nt
Organism: Eriocheir sinensis (Chinese mitten crab)
Lineage: Eukaryota; Metazoa; Arthropoda; Malacostraca; Decapoda; Varunidae
Exons: 4
Source: RefSeq, a predicted model, not a curated record
UCUCAUGCAGCAGAAUAUAUGCCGGUUCCAGGGACUUCCUCUUCAUCAUCGUUCAUCAUUUCAUCGACGCCUGCUCCUAGGAGCUCCCACCAGGGGAUGGCCACGGCAGAAGAGCUUCCAACUUUCUCUAUCCAGACACUCCCUCCUUGCUUGCUCAAAGUUUCUCAAAGAUCUUUCCCCCCUCUCCCUAAUGUACUCUUGCACCCUAUCCCUCCAUUUCACUGGAGGUAUUCCUCUAGCAUUCCCUCCCUCUAUCUCACUCACAUACACCCUUCUGGUCAUCUUACUCUCCUCCAUUCACUCCAUGUGGCCAAACCACUUUAAGGUCUGUCGCUUCACUUCUUCCACCACUCCACACUUCUUCCCUUCACCCCUGUGACACAUUCCAAAAUGCUCGUACACACUUUCAUUACUCAUUCCAUCCAUUCUACUCACACCACAAGCACUCCUCAAAUAACUCAUUUCCACUGCCUGCACUCUAGACCUCUGACUUUCAUUCCAGGCCCAUGUUUCACUUGCAUAUGUGAGGGUUGGUACUAUUAUUGUAUUUCUCAAAUCCCCCUUUACUUCCAUGCUCACACUUCUGCCAUUCAUGAUUCAUCCCAAAGACCCUACCACCCUUCUUCCUUGCAAUGCCCUUUCUCUUAUCUCUCCCUCCAUACCACCAUGCUUACGCAUAACUGAUCCAAGAGCUCUCACGGGCACGUCCACCUCGACCACGACCAUGGACCCUAGGCCCUAGGAGGAAAAGACAACAAGGAAAGAACGAGGACAACAACAACACACUCAGCUUCCACAAAGGUUGGGGCCGCCUCACCUGCAGGGCUGGACAGCAGCAUGAGUGGCCAGGACAAGCAGGAGCAGACUGCUGCAGGGGGCAGGAGGGUCAGUGGUCACCAGAUGAAGCAACUUGGUGCUGGCAACUCCAGCAACAAAGGAGAGAGGAAGUUUGUGUUUCUGGAGUGUGGAAAAGAAUUCACCUCAAGGGAAGGCCUCAGAUAUCACACCCUUACACACACUGGUGUGAAGAACUAUGAAUGUAAGGAAUGUGGGAAAAA